Oryza sativa Japonica Group (Japanese rice) is the source of this 179-nucleotide microRNA precursor. It matches the Rfam family "MIR812 microRNA precursor family". NCBI's taxonomy places the organism in Eukaryota, Viridiplantae, Streptophyta, Magnoliopsida, Poales, Poaceae. The record is from Rfam.
AAAAAGGUGAACCCUGGUUUCCGUGUCCAACUUUGACUGUCCAUCUUAUAUAAUUUUUUUUAUAAUUCAUAUUUUCAUUGUUGUUAGAUGAUAAAACAUGAUUAAAAUUUUGUGCGUUAUUUGUCUUUUUAAUUUUUUUCAUAAUUUUUUCAAAUAAGACGGACGGUCAAACGUUGGUC